UAGAGUUUGAUCAUGGCUCAGAUUGAACGCUGGCGGCAGGCCUAACACAUGCAAGUCGAGCGGAAACGACACUAACAAUCCUUCGGGUGCGUUAAUGGGCGUCGAGCGGCGGACGGGUGAGUAAUGCCUAGGAAAUUGCCUUGAUGUGGGGGAUAACCAUUGGAAACGAUGGCUAAUACCGCAUAAUGCCUACGGGCCAAAGAGGGGGACCUUUGGGCCUCUCGCGUCAAGAUAUGCCUAGGUGGGAUUAGCUAGUUGGUGAGGUAAUGGCUCACCAAGGCGACGAUCCCUAGCUGGUCUGGGAGGAUGAUCAGCCACACUGGAACUGAGACACGGUCCAGACUCCUACGGGAGGCAGCAGUGGGGAAUAUUGCACAAUGGGCGAAAGCCUGAUGCAGCCAUGCCGCGUGUAUGAAGAAGGCCUUCGGGUUGUAAAGUACUUUCAGUUGUGAGGAAGGGUGUGUAGUUAAUAGCUGCGCAUCUUGACGUUAGCAACAGAAGAAGCACCGGCUAACUCCGUGCCAGCAGCCGCGGUAAUACGGAGGGUGCGAGCGUUAAUCGGAAUUACUGGGCGUAAAGCGCAUGCAGGUGGUUCAUUAAGUCAGAUGUGAAAGCCCGGGGCUCAACCUCGGAACUGCAUUUGAAACUGGUGAACUAGAGUGCUGUAGAGGGGGGUAGAAUUUCA
RNAcentral lists this ribosomal RNA (685 nucleotides) under uncultured Vibrionaceae bacterium. Its description in RNAcentral is "bacterial SSU rRNA". It matches the Rfam family "Bacterial small subunit ribosomal RNA", at positions 1 to 671 of the family's 1533-position model. Lineage: Bacteria; Pseudomonadati; Pseudomonadota; Gammaproteobacteria; Vibrionales; Vibrionaceae. The record is from RNAcentral.